This 2535-nucleotide small RNA is filed under the name Pongo abelii (Sumatran orangutan). RNAcentral's name for it is "retained intron". Lineage: Eukaryota; Metazoa; Chordata; Mammalia; Primates; Hominidae. The record is from RNAcentral.
CAGCAGAGACAGGCAGAGGCAGGCGGCCAGCGUGGGAUACUGCUGGGGGCUGCGUUAAGGGGAGAAGGGGAGAUUCUGUCUCAGAAGCCUCGGGCUGCGCGUUCUUCUGGGCUGCUCAUUGCUAGCCCAGAGCAGGCCCCUGCCGGCCCCUCUUGAGUUGGGCCACUGCUUCUGCAGGCCCAGCAGGCCCCUGGGGGCGGCCGGAGGCCACUAACUGGCUUCUCUAGUUCAGCAUUCUUCCCUCAUUUGCUGUGUACCCCACUCUCUUCUCUACCCCUUUGAACCAUCUUUACCCUCAUUCGUCAGGGAACAUUUAACGAGUUGAAUGUUUAACGUGUACUCACUCUAUAUGGAAAUCAUAAUUCAAUUUUGUAAACAUCAGACUUUGACAAAACAAACGAUGAUUUUCUUAAGGAAAGCAGAGAGAGUGUGAAAUCACUGCUCUCAGAUCGGCACACGGGAAAGGCCAGCAGUCAGGAGGGGGCUCACCGAGUUUGUCUGCGCUCACUCCCUCCCCGGCUGCCCUCUCCAGCUGGCAGAAGUCGUAAUCGAACCUGCUCAGGUCCUCACUGCCCCGCUCUGAAGGAAACCCCACGUACAGGUGAGGUCGGAGGAGUGAAGUGACUUGCCCAAGACCACACAGCGAGUCAGGAGCAGGCCUGUCCCUCCAGCAGCGGUGCCAUGUUGUCCCCGGGCUGUGGUGGCAGAGGAGCCGGUGUGAACGCCCCAUCCUGCCACGUCUGUGAUGUGGGCACCUCACAUGACUGUCCCCUCACAGCCCUUGGGGGGGACCUAGGACAUUCUGUGAGCCCACAGGAAAGUUUACCAAAUGCUGCAGCUUUGUCCUGGUGGUGAUGGGCACCCCGUUAACGGCAACCUUGCAUUUGCUGUGUGGAGUGACCGUCGCUUUACCGUCGGCAUUUGUGAAGGAAGCGUGUUUAUCUGAAAUUCUAAGAAGACCAGAGUCAGUCUAAGACACCCAGCAAAUGGCGGUUUUCGUGAGCAGGUAGGCUUAUCUUUCUCAUUUGCACAGGAGGGAAGAUCUACAGCUGAGGAGGAUGGCAGGUGGCCUCUCGGGCCUCCUGUGCACUGUGGCCCAUGAUGUAUGGGGACAGCAGCGGGCGCAGGAGGACCCUGCCCUUGGGGAGCACGAGGAGCUGGGAGACAGCAGGCAAGGGCAUUAACAGAACGAACACCAGCUGAGGGCCUAGCGCUGUGGGGAGCCGGCCAAGGCCACACUGGAGUCCUCCCGCUCCCAGACCAGUGGGAUGGGGUGGUGGGAAAAUGGCAGCAAGCAAGCUUCAGGAGAGACACUCAGGAGGCGACUCUUAACGAGCCUCACCUACUCCAGGUACGUUUCGAUCUGUUUCUGCGCCCUCGCGCAGACCUUAUAAGAUUUGGGGCUGGACGUCAGGGGUAUCAGGUUGGCGUCCCUCCUCCCCGCCCCGCUCCCCUGCACCGGAUGUCAUCUGUGUGUCCUGAAUGACUGGCUCCUGCCUUAGCAUGUUCCGUGUUCCUGCACUCUUUGGCCAUUGCAGAAUGUUCUGGAUGUGGAGACUCGUGUGCAUCCAAACCCUUUUCUGCAUGGGGCCCAGGGAUCCUGUGGGAAAGGUUGCGGCCUCAUCACUGGAGUUCAGACAUUUAUGCACCUGUGCGUUGGACUAAGGACAUGUUCUGGAAAGGGACUUGAGGGGGAUCUCCAGGAAGAUGUCCCAAGAAGGAGGCUGGCAGUGCAGGACGAGGCGGGGCCAGCCGGCCCCUGGGUCAGCACCCCUGCCACCACGAUGGCCCGUGGGCUUUCAUAUGGGGGCGGGGGGUGAUCUGUCUGAAGGACGUAGGUGAUGGUGCUUCCCAGCUGGAGAGCUGGAAGCAGGAGGAGGACCCUCCAGCAGCGGCCUCCCAGGCAGGGCAGCCACAGAGCUGGGGACAGCUCUUGACUGCGUGAGGCCCGGCAUGGGUUUCCCAGGGCUCCUGCAGGGGCCUCCUGAGGGAGCCCUCGGGGUCACUCCCCAGUCUGGGCUUUCUGUAGUCCAGUGGGUCAGGGCUCCAAACACCAGGAGAGAUCCAGGGAUGCACUUAUGUUUGGGCCACCCCCGGUGGGCUUGUUCGUUCAGCCCCCUUUCGUUUUCUGGCCAGCUCUACUUACAUCUGUUUGUGAAGAAUUAUUACACAGAAUCUAGAAACCAGCUUUCCCUUUUCUCCCAGGGUUGGAGCCCAGGAAGCAAACCAGCACUGCACCCUGGAUUUCAGCCAGAGGACGAACGCCCUGCCCUCAGCUUUCUCAGACCAGCCCUGGAGUAAGUGGCCCGGGGAGACCUGGGCAGUGUCCCUGCUUGUCCUGCAGACUGUGUGGCUCUGUAGAUCCCUAGAUGGAGGAGUCACAAUUCUCUAAUGCUGGACGAGGACACUGAUUCAUGGAAGCUCACCCCAAACCUUGAAUCGUGAUAGCAUUUGAGGCAGCCUGACCAGCGUCACAUGAACCUGAAAAGAAUCAAGAUAUGAUUUAUUUUAAAAAUAAAUCAGACACUUUCAGAA